GGGGAUUUAGCUCAGUGGUAGAGCGCUUGCCUAGCAAGCGAAAGGCCCUGGGUUCGGUCCCCAGCUCCU
Non-coding RNA from Rattus norvegicus (Norway rat), 69 nucleotides. Lineage: Eukaryota; Metazoa; Chordata; Mammalia; Rodentia; Muridae. The record is from Rfam.